This 199-nucleotide unclassified non-coding RNA is filed under the name plant metagenome. Its description in RNAcentral is "partial contains small subunit ribosomal RNA and internal transcribed spacer 1". The stretch from base 1 to 46 matches the Rfam family "Eukaryotic small subunit ribosomal RNA", at positions 1786 to 1831 of the family's 1831-position model. The record is from RNAcentral.
AAGUCGUAACAAGGUCUCCGUAGGUGAACCUGCGGAGGGAUCAUUAUCGAGUGAGGGCCUCUGGCCCGACCUCCAACCCUUUGUAAUUAAGACCCUGUUGCCUCGAGGGCGACCCGGACGUCUCGGCGUCGGGCCCCUCGGUGGGACCCUACCAACUCUGCAUCUUUACGUCGGAUUAUACAAGUUUAAAUUAUCAAAA